Molecule: long non-coding RNA, 535 nt
Filed under: Capsella rubella
Lineage: Eukaryota; Viridiplantae; Streptophyta; Magnoliopsida; Brassicales; Brassicaceae
Description: long non-coding RNA (CRUB_LNC003509)
Source: RNAcentral
AGAGACUAGAUGGGUUCUUCCUUGUACGUUCAUUAUAACAGAUUCUUGUUCGUGUUUACGACUAACUUUACUAAUGAUGCUUCGAAGCUCUCGCGUAGGGAGCAUACUUCAACACGUGGGCUACAUUCGCCGGAAAAAAAAAAUACUCACGGAAUUGUAUUUUUUUUUUUCUUUUUUGCUCGACAAAUAAACAAACAUACUCACGGAAAGGAGAAAGUGGGUGAUUAUGUAGAAUGAGAAUAAUAAUAAUUAAUGAAAUUUAAAAUGUGAAAAAGGUGAGUCGCAUUCUCAAGUCAAGAAUCUUUUGUUAUUAUUCUUCUUCUUUUUUUCAUCGUAACCCGAACAUAAGAUUUGUUAACAAAAAAAAAAAAGGUUCGUUUUCUUACCACUUAUAGCUAGGCUUGUUUCAUAUUUUGUUAACAUUCAAUGUCUAGAUGAAGAAGAUUAGUCUUAAAAACUUUUAUUGAUUUUUGUUUUGUUGUUUUUUUCAUCGUUGUUACUUAUACCAAACGUCACAAAUCAACCUAAGUUUUUC